UUCUUAUUUAUAACAAUGCACUUAAUUAUAAAUGAAUAUUGCAAUUGGGCUUUAUUUAAUGAAUGAAAUGUGAUGAAUAGGAUUAUUCUUUGGUUAGGCUGCCAAGUGCUAAGAGGUCUCUUUACCCUCAUCUGGGAAUUAUAAGACUGGCUUAGCCACCUACCUCACCGGAUAAAGAACAAAAUUCUCUCACAAUCUUUUCUUCUUUGUGUCGACUAAAGAUCCUAGAUCAUCAUACAACUAUGGCAGUUGUCGGAAACAGUGAAAUAAUGAGCAUUUACACGUACCUUUCCAUCUGGAAAGAGGAGUGGUUUGAAGAACAGAAUCAAGAUCAUCAUUUCUAG
RNAcentral lists this long non-coding RNA (344 nucleotides) under Medicago truncatula (barrel medic). RNAcentral describes it as "lncRNA gene20320". Lineage: Eukaryota; Viridiplantae; Streptophyta; Magnoliopsida; Fabales; Fabaceae. The record is from RNAcentral.